GACGAACGCUGGCGGCGUGCUUAACACAUGCAAGUCGAACGGAAAGGCCCUGCUUUUGUGGGGUGCUCGAGUGGCGAACGGGUGAGUAACACGUGAGUAACCUGCCCUUGACUUUGGGAUAACUUCAGGAAACUGGGGCUAAUACCGGAUAGGAGCUCCUGCUGCAUGGUGGGGGUUGGAAAGUUUCGGCGGUUGGGGAUGGACUCGCGGCUUAUCAGCUUGUUGGUGGGGUAGUGGCUUACCAAGGCUUUGACGGGUAGCCGGCCUGAGAGGGUGACCGGCCACAUUGGGACUGAGAUACGGCCCAGACUGCUACGGGAGGCAGCAGUGGAGAAUAUUGCACAAUGGGCGGAAGCCUGAUGCAGCAACGCCGCGUGCGGGAUGACGGCCUUCGGGUUGUAAACCGCUUUCGCCUGUGACGAAGCGUGAGUGACGGUAAUGGGUAAAGAAGCACCGGCUAACUACGUG
Molecule: ribosomal RNA, 468 nt
Filed under: uncultured bacterium
Lineage: Bacteria
Description: partial 16S ribosomal RNA
Rfam family: Bacterial small subunit ribosomal RNA
Source: RNAcentral